UAUUUAUGUGCUUUGCAGGUUUGAGUUGCCACUUAUUUUAAGUCAGAUGCGCGUAGCGGUGGAAACACACCGGACUAAGCAUGGAUAGCUUUGUUACGAGGCUAACCCACGAUCGGUUGGAGUAGAGGGAGUACUCCGCAGGGUUCCUGAUUCAGAAUCAGAGCUAAAAGAGGUGAGAAGAUGCUCCUACAUCAUAUGAAGCUGACACAGAUGAUGACUUGUGAAGAAAUCCGUGAUGAUAUAAUCUUUUAUCCAAGUUCGCAGCAAUAAAUAAACAGUUGCUGACGAUGCCGACUGAGAAGAAGUCGAUGUGUUAAAAAAGAAACCGAGAAGAGGUCCAAAGAUUAGA
Molecule: non-coding RNA, 349 nt
Organism: Triticum urartu
Lineage: Eukaryota; Viridiplantae; Streptophyta; Magnoliopsida; Poales; Poaceae
Source: RefSeq, a predicted model, not a curated record